This 253-nucleotide ribosomal RNA is filed under the name uncultured bacterium. RNAcentral's name for it is "partial 16S ribosomal RNA". It matches the Rfam family "Bacterial small subunit ribosomal RNA", at positions 524 to 776 of the family's 1533-position model. The record is from RNAcentral.
UACGAAGGGGGCUAGCGUUGCUCGGAAUUACUGGGCGUAAAGCGCACGUAGGCGGCUUUCUAAGUCGGGGGUGAAAUCCUGGAGUUCAACUCCAGAACUGCCUUCGAUACUGGAGAGCUCGAGUCCGGGAGAGGUGAGUGGAACUGCGAGUGUAGAGGUGAAAUUCGUAGAUAUUCGCAAGAACACCAGUGGCGAAGGCGGCUCACUGGCCCGGUACUGACGCUGAGGUGCGAAAGCGUGGGGAGCAAACAGG